AUACGGGGGGUGCAAGCGUUAAGCGGAAUUACUGGGCGUAAAGCGCGCGUAGGCGGUUUGCUCAGUCGGAUGUGAAAGCCCAGGGCUCAACCUUGGAACUGCAUACGAUACUGGCAAACUAGAGUGUGAGAGAGGAUAGUGGAAUUUCCGGUGUAGCGGUGAAAUGCGUAGAUAUCGGAAGGAACAUCAGUGGCGAAGGCGACUGUCUGGCUCAACACUGACGCUGAGGUGCGAAAGCGUGGGUAGCAAACAGGAUUAGAAACCCCAGUAGUCC
Molecule: ribosomal RNA, 274 nt
Filed under: uncultured bacterium
Lineage: Bacteria
Description: partial 16S ribosomal RNA
Rfam family: Bacterial small subunit ribosomal RNA
Source: RNAcentral